UGGGGAAUAUUGCACAAUGGGCGCAAGCCUGAUGCAGCCAUGCCGCGUGUAUGAAGAAGGCCUUCGGGUUGUAAAGUACUUUCAGCGGGGAGGAAGGGAGUAAAGUUAAUACCUUUACUCAUUGACGUUACCCGCAGAAGAAGCACCGGCUAACUCCGUGCCAGCAGCCGCGGUAAUACGGAGGGUGCAAGCGUUAAUCGGAAUUACUGGGCGUAAAGCGCACGCCGGCGGUUUGUUAAGUCAGAUGUGAAAUCCCCGGGCUCAACCUGGGAACUGCAUUCGAAACUGGCAGGCUAGAGUCUUGUAGAGGGGGGUAGAAUUCCAGGUGUAGCGGUGAAAUGCGUAGAGAUCUGGAGGAAUACCGGUGGCGAAGGCGGCCCCCUGGACGAAGACUGACGCUCAGGUGCGAAAGCGUGGGGAGCAAACAGG
RNAcentral lists this ribosomal RNA (429 nucleotides) under Chloroflexota bacterium. RNAcentral describes it as "Chloroflexi bacterium partial 16S ribosomal RNA". It matches the Rfam family "Bacterial small subunit ribosomal RNA", at positions 355 to 776 of the family's 1533-position model. The record is from RNAcentral. Lineage: Bacteria; Bacillati; Chloroflexota.